This 769-nucleotide ribosomal RNA is filed under the name uncultured archaeon. RNAcentral describes it as "bacterial SSU rRNA". It matches the Rfam family "Archaeal small subunit ribosomal RNA", at positions 85 to 876 of the family's 1478-position model. The record is from RNAcentral.
ACUGCUCAGUAACACGUGGAUAACCUACCCUUAGGACUGGGAUAACCCUGGGAAACUGGGGAUAAUACUGGAUAGGCAAUUAUUCCUGUAAUGGUUUUUUGUUUAAAUGUUUUUUCGCCUAAGGAUGGGUCUGCGGCCGAUUAGGUAGUUGGUUAGGUAAUGGCUUACCAAGCCUUUGAUCGGUACGGGUUGUGAGAGCAAGAGCCCGGAGAUGGAACCUGAGACAAGUUCCAGGCCCUACGGGGUGGCAGCAAGCGCGAAACCUCCGCCAUGUGAGGAAAUCGCGACGGGGGGAUCCCAGUGCAUUCUUAACGGAUGGCUUUUCAUUAGUGGUAAGAAGCUUUUGGAAUAGAAGCUGGGCAGACCGGUGCCAGCCGCGCGGUAACACGGCAGCUCUAGUGUAGCAGUUUAUUGGCCUAAGCGUCGUAGCCGGUAUAAGUCCUGUGAAAUCCUGCACUUACUGGGUUGCUGAGAUACUAUUAGACUUGAGAUCGGGAGAGGUUAGAGGUACUCCCAGGGUAGAGGUGAAAUUCUGUAAUCCUGGGAGGACCGCCUGUUGCGAAGGCGUCUGACUGGAACGAUUCUGACGGUGAGGGACGAAAGCUAGGGGCGCGAACCGGAUUAGAUACCCGGGUAGUCCUAGCUGUAAACGAUGCGGACUUGGUGUUGGGGUGGCUUUGAGCUGUCCCAGUGCCGAAGGGAAGCUGUUAAGUCCGCCGCCUGGGAAGUACGGUCGCAAGACUGAAACUUAAAGGAAUUGGCGGGGGAG